CGGGUAACCCGCAGAGCGGGCUGAGGGAUACGAGACCCUGCCGCCGCCGCCGCCUCGCUCAGCUUCCCGCCCCCACCCGCUCGCCGUUCGUUCGCCUCAGCGAACGCCGCUGCCGAAGGCGAUAAAGCGGCCGAGGCGCUACUGAGGGGAGAGCGACAAGAGCGCCGUCGGACCUUUCCUUCCCACCACCAAACUUCCACCCCCCCCCAAAAAUGCAUAAAACACACAUGCCUUCUCCAGUUAAACCCUCUAUUUAUAAAGGAAUUGCCGGCUUCACACAUGCCUCUUUCACACGGGUUCGAGAGCCCAAUACGAACGGGGACCGGCACGUGUAUGAGGAGGACGGGGGGUGGGGAGCAAUGGGCGCUAGGAAGGUCCCUGUUGAACGCUGAACCCAGGGCAAACCUGGGUCUGGAUUUCUUCUGCGUAAUGUGUGAAGCUGGCCGGGUGACUGGAAUAAGAGGUGAAGAACAGAGCUCCCAUGCUUUUUUUCUUCUGUUUUCUGUAUCAUUGGUAUUUCUGCCCCUCGGCCAAGAUUGAGAACCCCGCUUUCGAUUCUAGUCGCCUUCCAAACAACCCGAGACUUAGUUUAGCAUCAGGGAUAAGAGACUAGAUAACGAGAAUUAUCUAUGGUCUUUUAUUCACCAAGUAAACUUAAGUAGGGUGCUGUCAGCACCCCCACACACCAAUAUUAAUGCAGGCUAUUUGCCUACCUCACUGGGUUGUUGUGUGGAUUCCCAAGAUAAUGCAUGUGAAGUAGCAUAUAUUUCCGUGUAUGAUGAUCCCAUGUAUAAGACGUCCCCUAUUUGGGGGGACUCCAAAUUAAGAAAAAACCCCUCAGCAAUACCUGUGUAUAAGACGAGACCCAAUUUUAAACCUAAUUUUUUGGUUAAAAAACCCUAGUCUUAUAUAUGGAAAAAAUACGGUACUUUGAGCAUUGUAAGAUGCUUGUGGAAUGUUCUUUUUUAAAAAAAUUAUAAUAAAAUAUAUAGUGUACAUAAUAUAAUACAGCAACAGCUCAUAGUCGAGAAGCGCUUACCGAAGAGAUAUGACAGUAAAAAGAUGUAUAUAUAACGCAUUUCAAGAGUUCACUUUUCAGUUAAACCUCUGUAAACUAGCUUGAUUUCUCCAUAUUCAAUAGCUCUUUGCUGGCAAAACAGUAGUAAGAGUUGAGGAGAGCUUGGAUUUGGGACGUGCAGCUCAUAGCUCAAAAACUUACCUUCUCUCAAGAGGUCCUCACUGCAUCCAGUAAACUUACAGUACUUGGUAUUAAGAAAGGAAGGCUGUGUACACAAGACUGAAAUGAGAACCACUGUAAGUCCAUAUGUAAUGCAAAAUAAAAGCCUACAUUGGUCAAAGAAUGUAACCACAUUUCCCCCCAGCUUUUGUUCUUUAUUAACAAGCAGGCAUUUGCACCAACACCAUGAAUGUUAAAGUGAAUUUAUUGCGCAUGCAUAGUUGGCGAACACCAUCCUUGCACAUGUGCAAUAAGACUUUUAAAGAUAAUUGGCAUUUAAAUUAAAGACACCACACAAAGCUAUGAUGUAUACAAAUUCUGGCAGUAAUUCAAUACUAGUACCGGUAUGUUGAUGUGCAUAUGUACAGGCAAAUACACAUUUUACCUAAUACACUGAGAGUGAUCCCCAGAUGAAACUUAGCUCAUGCAUUUCCCUAUGUAAAAUAGACAUGAACAGAAAAAUUUCUUAUUUACUGCUGUGCCUGUGCAAACCUGAUAACCUGUCUGUUUUUAUCAUUAUUUUGCACAUGGGCUUCAAAGUGAAGAUCGGUUCAGUUUAAUGUCAUUCAAAAUAGAAGCUAGAAUGGCACUGAAUAUUUUUGUGGGAUGUUCUUUUUUGUACCAAA
Podarcis lilfordi (Lilford's wall lizard) is the source of this 1863-nucleotide non-coding RNA. NCBI's taxonomy places the organism in Eukaryota, Metazoa, Chordata, Lepidosauria, Squamata, Lacertidae. The record is from the annotation of a GenBank genome assembly.